ACUCACUUCACCACGGGCCUGAGACCCCUGCCCUCGAAGGCUCAGCUGACACUUCCAGGCAAACGCUGGCAGAUGACAGCUGCCACUUUCACACUUGGCCCAGCCACCGCCUCCUGCUCGGCCUGGCCGCUGCUGUGGGGAGGAGACCAGAAGCCGGAGCAAAGCAGAAGCAGAAGAACCUGUGACCUCAGGCACCUGGGAGGUGACUUCGUUCUGUGUAAUCACAGCACAAGGCAUGAAUUCCUCCUGCGCUUGUCCUGAGCUGUCCCACAGCCUGGCACAAACCUAAAUAUUUAACUGUGAUCGAUUGCUCGCUGCGUCAUUCUCUUGCUGCCCUUCUUUCUACACAAAUCUUCCUGCCACCAGAGGUCCUCCGCCUGGGCAUAUGUUUUCUGAAAUAACCUCUACUAACCACAUGCAGUCCUGCUCCAUCUAUUUCUGUAUCUCUUAAACUCCAGAUUUCCUGGCUUAAAAUAUAGCUAGGACA
Eptesicus fuscus (big brown bat) is the source of this 487-nucleotide long non-coding RNA. RefSeq lists it as uncharacterized. Lineage: Eukaryota; Metazoa; Chordata; Mammalia; Chiroptera; Vespertilionidae. The transcript is spliced from 3 exons. The record is from RefSeq and is a predicted model, not a curated record.